GCCGAGCCAACUAGCGAUGGCUUAUGACCCGAGCGGGGGCACUAAGGUGGUGUUGCGGAUGCCUGGAUGUUGCGCUUGGGCCUGGGCCUGUGGUCUGCAUUAAUACGGGCCCGCCCGUUCCAAGUUGCGUAGAUGUGCUUGGGCUCCUGGGCGAAAGCUCUGGGGUGUCCAUGCACCUAGAGUGGCGGGCACUGCGUGAGGCUGGUUUCACAGAGCAGCGAGUACCGCCCGCUUCCAACGGUGGGAGGAUAACGGGCGCUACAGCCCUGGUCCGCUUCCGGCCCAAGCACCUUCCAUGGCAGACCACCAUCUUU
This 314-nucleotide signal recognition particle RNA is filed under the name Leersia perrieri. Its description in RNAcentral is "Plant signal recognition particle RNA". It matches the Rfam family "Plant signal recognition particle RNA". The record is from Rfam by way of RNAcentral. Lineage: Eukaryota; Viridiplantae; Streptophyta; Magnoliopsida; Poales; Poaceae.